This 430-nucleotide ribosomal RNA is filed under the name bacterium. RNAcentral describes it as "partial 16S ribosomal RNA". It matches the Rfam family "Bacterial small subunit ribosomal RNA", at positions 355 to 776 of the family's 1533-position model. The record is from RNAcentral.
UGGGGAAUAUUGGACAAUGGGCGCAAGCCUGAUCCAGCCAUGCCGCGUGUGUGAAGAAGGCCUUUUGGUUGUAAAGCACUUUAAGCGAGGAGGAGGCUACUUGGAUUAAUACUCUAGGAUAGUGGACGUUACUCGCAGAAUAAGCACCGGCUAACUCUGUGCCAGCAGCCGCGGUAAUACAGAGGGUGCGAGCGUUAAUCGGAUUUACUGGGCGUAAAGCGUGCGUAGGCGGCUUCUUAAGUCGGAUGUGAAAUCCCUGAGCUUAACUUAGGAAUUGCAUUGGAUACUGGGAAGCUAGAGUAUGGGAGAGGAUGGUAGAAUUCCAGGUGUAGCGGUGAAAUGCGUAGGGAUCUGGAGGAAUACCGAUGGCGAAGGCAGCCAUCUGGCCUAAUACUGACGCUGAGGUACGAAAGCAUGGGGAGCAAACAGG